Molecule: ribosomal RNA, 448 nt
Filed under: uncultured bacterium
Lineage: Bacteria
Description: bacterial SSU rRNA
Rfam family: Bacterial small subunit ribosomal RNA
Source: RNAcentral
ACUCCUACGGGAGGCAGCAGUGGGGAAUAUUGCACAAUGGGCGCAAGCCUGAUGCAGCAACGCCGCGUGAGCGAAGAAGGUCUUCGGAUCGUAAAGCUCUUUUCUUAGGGAAGAAAACUGACGGUACCUAAGGAAUAAGCACCGGCUAAAUACGUGCCAGCAGCCGCGGUAAUACGUAUGGUGCAAGCGUUAUCCGGAAUCACUGGGCGUAAAGGGUGCGUAGGCGGUUUUGCAAGUCAGAAGUGAAAGGCUACGGCUCAACCGUAGUAAGCUUUUGAAACUGCAAGACUAGAGUGCAGGAGAGGAAAGUGGAAUUCCUAGUGUAGAGGUGAAAUUCGUAGAGAUUUGUAGGAAUGCCGAUGACGAAGGUAGCUUACUGGACAAAUACUGACGCUGAAGCGCGAAAGCUAGGGGAGCAAACAGGAUUAGAUACCCUGGUAGCUACGAG